UACGGAGGAUCCGAGCGUUAUCCGGAUUUAUUGGGUUUAAAGGGUGCUCAGGCGGGCCAUUAAGUCGGCGGUGAAAUUUUGCGGCUCAACCGUAAAAGUGCCUUCGAUACUGGUGGUCUUGAGUGGGGAUGAGGUAGGCGGAAUUUGUGGUGUAGCGGUGAAAUGCAUAGAUAUCACGAGGAACUCCGAUUGCUAAGGCAGCUUACUAAGCCAUAACUGACGCUCAAGCACGAAGGCGUGGGGAUCAAACAGGAUUAGAUACCCUGGUAGU
RNAcentral lists this ribosomal RNA (271 nucleotides) under uncultured prokaryote. RNAcentral's name for it is "partial 16S ribosomal RNA". It matches the Rfam family "Bacterial small subunit ribosomal RNA", at positions 524 to 794 of the family's 1533-position model. The record is from RNAcentral.